This is a long non-coding RNA of Haplochromis burtoni (Burton's mouthbrooder), 621 nucleotides long. RefSeq lists it as uncharacterized. The record is from RefSeq and is a predicted model, not a curated record. NCBI's taxonomy places the organism in Eukaryota, Metazoa, Chordata, Actinopteri, Cichliformes, Cichlidae. The transcript has 2 exons.
GCUUCUGAAGUCUCCAUCGCGGCUGGUCGUAGCUAUAGAAGCCUCCUCUGAGCUAUUCGGCUUACAUUCUAUGACACGGCUUACUUGGAAGUGUGGGCCUUAGUUUUGCGCCAAGCUACGUGAACUGAAGUGCUGCUGUUUUGCCUUGCUGUGCUUUUAUCGUCUGUUCCCGUUGUGAGAUUUCUUUCCCUGCUGCUGUCAGCUUUUACAGUGGACGUCGGCGUGGACAACGGCCAUAUGCAUGCCGGUUAUCGGAGUCAGCUGGCGUGCAUAUUGAUUGACUGUUAACUUGUCGUUGUGUGACGGCAAGUUGGAGCAGUACGGCGAUUCCGUUUGCUCCAGAUUUUAGAGUUUUAUCCAGAUUGUAUGUUGUUUUAUUGCUUUUGAUUUGUAGUUUGGAUUUUUGUUACACCACUGGUGGGAGGCCCUUUUUCUAGCUGUAGAUCACCAGUGUGGUCCUGCAGUUGGGUUAUCCCCCGGUGCUACACAUUAGUUUGUUGUAAUAUAUUAAAAUUUUCUUUGUUUCUUUUAUUCAGAUGCGGAGUGCCGACGUGGAGGAGACUAGGGUGCCUUGGUGGUGGGAUCCCUUGAGUGUACACACCUGCCUUGUUUAGUUUAUUA